This 472-nucleotide ribosomal RNA is filed under the name uncultured Alphaproteobacteria bacterium. RNAcentral's name for it is "bacterial SSU rRNA". It matches the Rfam family "Bacterial small subunit ribosomal RNA", at positions 9 to 524 of the family's 1533-position model. The record is from RNAcentral. Lineage: Bacteria; Pseudomonadati; Pseudomonadota; Alphaproteobacteria.
GAGUUUGAUCAUGGCUCAGAACGAACGCUGGCGGCAUGCCUAACACAUGCAAGUCGAACGAGACCUUCGGGUCUAGUGGCGCACGGGUGCGUAACGCGUGGGAAUCUACCCUUGGGUUCGGAAUAACAGUUAGAAAUGACUGCUAAUACCGGAUGAUGUCUUCGGACCAAAGAUUUAUCGCCCAAGGAUGAGCCCGCGUAGGAUUAGCUUGUUGGUGAGGUAAAAGCUCACCAAGGCGACGAUCCUUAGCUGGUCUGAGAGGAUGAUCAGCCACACUGGGACUGAGACACGGCCCAGACUCCUACGGGAGGCAGCAGUGGGGAAUAUUGGACAAUGGGCGAAAGCCUGAUCCAGCAAUGCCGCGUGAGUGAUGAAGGCCUUAGGGUUGUAAAGCUCUUUUACCCGGGAUGAUAAUGACAGUACCGGGAGAAUAAGCCCCGGCUAACUCCGUGCCAGCAGCAGCCGCCGUAAU